Molecule: ribosomal RNA, 268 nt
Filed under: uncultured bacterium
Lineage: Bacteria
Description: partial 16S ribosomal RNA
Rfam family: Bacterial small subunit ribosomal RNA
Source: RNAcentral
UAGAGUUUGAUCAUGGCUCAGAGCGAACGCUGGCGGUAUGCUUAACACAUGCAAGUCGAGCGAGAAAGUGGCUUCGGCCACGAGUACAGCGGCGGACGGGUGCGUAACACGUGGAUAAUCUGCCUUCAGGUCUGGGAUAACCCUGGGAAACUAGAGCUAAUACCGGAUAAGACCACAGGUUCCAUGGAACCAAGGGUAAAAGGCGGCCUUCGGGCUGUCUCCUGAAAUGAGUCCGCGUCCCAUCGUUGGGGAGGAACGGCCACCGCCA